GUCGAGCGAAUGGAUGGGAGCUUGCUCCCUGAAGUUAGCGGCGGACGGGUGAGUAACACGUGGGCAACCUGCCUAUAAGACUGGGAUAACUUCGGGAAACCGGAGCUAAUACCGGAUACGUUCUUUUCUCGCAUGAGGGAAGAUGGAAAGACGGUUUACGCUGUCACUUAUAGAUGGGCCCGCGGCGCAUUAGCUAGUUGGUGAGGUAAUGGCUCACCAAGGCGACGAUGCGUAGCCGACCUGAGAGGGUGAUCGGCCACACUGGGACUGAGACACGGCCCAGACUCCUACGGGAGGCAGCAGUAGGGAAUCUUCCGCAAUGGACGAAAGUCUGACGGAGCAACGCCGCGUGAACGAAGAAGGCCUUCGGGUCGUAAAGUUCUGUUGUUAGGGAAGAACAAGUACCAGAGUAACUGCUGGUACCUUGACGGUACCUAACCAGAAAGCCACGGCUAACUACGUGCCAGCAGCCGCGGUAAUACGUAGGUGGCAAGCGUUGUCCGGAAUUAUUGGGCGUAAAGCGCGCGCAGGUGGUUCCUUAAGUCUGAUGUGAAAGCCCACGGCUCAACCGUGGAGGGUCAUUGGAAACUGGGGAACUUGAGUGCAGAAGAGGAAAGUGGAAUUCCAAGUGUAGCGGUGAAAUGCGUAGAGAUUUGGAGGAACACCAGUGGCGAAGGCGACUUUCUGGUCUGUAACUGACACUGAGGCGCGAAAGCGUGGGGAGCAAACAGGAU
Molecule: ribosomal RNA, 734 nt
Filed under: Peribacillus simplex
Lineage: Bacteria; Bacillati; Bacillota; Bacilli; Caryophanales; Bacillaceae
Description: bacterial SSU rRNA
Rfam family: Bacterial small subunit ribosomal RNA
Source: RNAcentral